Molecule: transfer RNA, 87 nt
Filed under: Phytomonospora endophytica
Lineage: Bacteria; Bacillati; Actinomycetota; Actinomycetes; Micromonosporales; Micromonosporaceae
Description: Micromonosporaceae bacterium YIM 65646 tRNA
Rfam family: tRNA
About the family: Transfer RNA (tRNA) molecules are approximately 80 nucleotides in length. Their secondary structure includes four short double-helical elements and three loops (D, anti-codon, and T loops).
Source: Rfam by way of RNAcentral
GGAAGCUUCGCCUAGUGGCCGAGGGCGGCAGUCUUGAAAACUGCUGAGGUGUCAUAGCCUCCGUGGGUUCGAAUCCCACAGCUUCCG